AGAGUUUGAUCCUGGCUCAGGACGAACGCUGGCGGCGGGCCUUAUGCAUGCAAGUCGAACGCACUCGACCUUCGGGUCAUAUGAGUGAGUGGCGAACGGGUGAGUAACACGUGAGAAACCUGCCCCGAAGACUGGAACAACCCGGGGAAACUCGGGCUAAUACCGGAUACCCCCAACUAAUCGCAUGGUUAGUUGAGGAAAUGCUCCGGCGCUUCGGGAGGGUCUCGCGGCCUAUCAGCUAGUUGGUGAGGUAACGGCUCACCAAGGCAACGACGGGUAGCUGGUCUGAGAGGACGAUCAGCCACACUGGGACUGAGACACGGCCCAGACUCCUACGGGAGGCAGCAGCAGGGAAUCUUGCGCAAUGGGCGAAAGCCUGACGCAGCCACGCCGCGUGAGGGAUGAAGGCUCUAGGGUCGUAAACCUCUUUCAGCAGGGAAGAAAAUGACGGUACCUGCAGAAGAAGCUCCGGCCAACUACGUGCCAGCAGCCGCGGUAACACGUAGGGAGCGAGCGUUGUCCGGAUUUAUUGGGCGUAAAGAGCUCGUAGGCUGUUCAGUAAGUCAGGUGUGAAAACUCGAGGCUCAACCUCGAGACGCCACCUGAAACUGCUGUGACUAGAGUCCGGUAGGGGAGUGUGGAAUUCCUGGUGUAGCGGUGAAAUGCGCAGAUAUCAGGAGGAACACCAGCAGCGAAGGCGGCACUCUGGGCCGGUACUGACGCUCAGGAGCGAAAGCAUGGGGAGCGAACAGGAUUAGAUACCCUGGUAGUCCAUGCCGUAAACGUUGGGCACUAGGUGUGGGAUUUAACU
Molecule: ribosomal RNA, 811 nt
Filed under: marine metagenome
Description: bacterial SSU rRNA
Rfam family: Bacterial small subunit ribosomal RNA
Source: RNAcentral